RNAcentral lists this ribosomal RNA (484 nucleotides) under uncultured bacterium. Its description in RNAcentral is "partial 16S ribosomal RNA". It matches the Rfam family "Bacterial small subunit ribosomal RNA", at positions 29 to 507 of the family's 1533-position model. The record is from RNAcentral.
AUUGAACGCUGGCGGCAUGCUUUACACAUGCCAGUCGAACGGCAGCGCGGGCUUCGGCCUGGCGGCGAGUGGCGAACGGGUGAGUAAUACAUCGGAACGUGCCCAGUAGUGGGGGAUAGCUCGGCGAAAGCCGGAUUAAUACCGCAUACGACCUGAGGGUGAAAGCGGGGGAUCUUCGGACCUCGCGCUAUUGGAGCGGCCGAUGGCAGAUUAGCUAGUUGGUGGGGUAAAGGCCUACCAAGGCGACGAUCUGUAGCUGGUCUGAGAGGACGACCAGCCACACUGGGACUGAGACACGGCCCAGACUCCUACGGGAGGCAGCAGUGGGGAAUUUUGGACAAUGGGCGAAAGCCUGAUCCAGCAAUGCCGCGUGCGUGAUGAAGGCCUUCGGGUUGUAAAGCACUUUUGGCGGGAACGAAAAGGACUGUGCCAAUACCACGGUUCGAUGACGGUACCCGCAGAAUAAGCACCGGCUAACUACGUG